GAUGAAGAACGUAGUGAAAUGCGAUAAGUAAUGUGAAUUGCAGAAUUCAGUGAAUCAUCGAAUCUUUGAACGCACAUUGCGCCCCUUGGUAUUCCGAGGGGCAUGCCUGUUCGAGCGUCAUAUUAACCACUCCCGCUUGCGGGGUCUUGGGCUUCGCCUCCGGGCGGGCCUUAAAAUCAGUGGCGGUGCCGUCGGGCUCUACGCGUAGUAAAUUUUCUCGCGAUAGGGUCCCGGUGGAUGCUUGCCAACAACCCCCAACUUCUUAAGGUUGACCUCGGAUCAGGUAGGGAUACCCGCUGAACUUAAGCAUACAAUAGCGGAGGA
RNAcentral lists this unclassified non-coding RNA (324 nucleotides) under soil metagenome. Its description in RNAcentral is "partial contains 5.8S ribosomal RNA, internal transcribed spacer 2, and large subunit ribosomal RNA". The stretch from base 1 to 120 matches the Rfam family "5.8S ribosomal RNA", at positions 35 to 154 of the family's 154-position model. The record is from RNAcentral.